Molecule: ribosomal RNA, 253 nt
Filed under: uncultured bacterium
Lineage: Bacteria
Description: partial 16S ribosomal RNA
Rfam family: Bacterial small subunit ribosomal RNA
Source: RNAcentral
UACGUAGGGGGCAAGCGUUGUCCGGAAUCAUUGGGCGUAAAGAGCGCGUAGGCGGCCCGAUAAGUCCGCUGUGAAAGUCCAGGGCUCAACCCUGGAAUGCCGGUGGAUACUGUCGGGCUCGAGUUCGGAAGAGGUGAGUGGAAUUCCUGGUGUAGCGGUGAAAUGCGCAGAUAUCAGGAAGAACACCUAUGGCGAAGGCAGCUCUCUGGGACGGUACUGACGCUGAGGUGCGAAAGCGUGGGGAGCAAACAGG